GUUAUUAUCCCAACACACUACAGCCAAAUGAUGAUCAUGUUCUGAUAAAUUAAAUCUAAAUGUUUCUUUUCAAAUCUGUCGACAAUAUAGUUACUGUACGUUUAUAUAUUUCCAGCUAAUCCGUAAUCCUUCUCGGAAGUAACAGAUGGAACGUGCCCUUGGACAAAGGGGAUGCAAUUCUAAUCUGUACAUGCACAAUAUGGACUGAAUAUCUGAUACACCAUCUAUCGUUGAUAUAUCGAUGUAUAAAUUAACUGUCAUUUUAUUGCUACUUGAGCUAACAAAUCCAUUGGUAUAUUUGUGUCAAGUGCACCUCUGUAAUCGAUUCCUUUUCUUUCUGUAUAAUUAAGUAUGGAUUUGUGCUACAUAAUUGAGAAAUGUGUGGCUACGGACAGAACAUUUUGUUAG
Pelobates cultripes (western spadefoot toad) is the source of this 408-nucleotide non-coding RNA. NCBI's taxonomy places the organism in Eukaryota, Metazoa, Chordata, Amphibia, Anura, Pelobatidae. The record is from the annotation of a GenBank genome assembly.